AAAUUUAAAAAAAUCAAAAUUCUGAAUUUAGAGUACAUAAAUGAAACUGAUCAUAUACCUGCAGCUGCAAAUAUACAUUAAUGAAAUAGUAAAGCAUAUAUCCAACUCCCUAUGAUGCAAUAUUAUACAAAAAUUCUCAAACAAUUCGUUCAUUUCACAUGAUGACAUUUUUGUUUAAGUCUCUGAGAAUCUAUGAUUACUUUCUUUUAUAAAUUAUUGUAUACAUUUAUAAAAAAAAGGAUAAUUACCUAGUCUCUAAAUAUAAUGGUCUAUUUAUAUACACAUAUAAUUCAUUUACAAAUUCAUAGGAUUGAACUAUUAAUACAUGCAACAAAAGUCAACAUUUUUUCCCCCAUAAUUUUCUAUGAUUAAUACAGUAUAAGAUUGUAUCAGUACUUUAAUGUACAUUGGUAUUAAAAUACAAAUAGCUCCUUUGUGCAAACUGUUCUGCUAAGUUUGCCUUUAUAUUUCAUAAAAGCUACAAAAAGGUAUUGAUUUCUAUUAUGAAUGGUAUAAAUUAAUGUUUAAUGAAAAUGUAUGUGUAGAUGUUCCAGACCAUAUGAGUAAUUGGACCGUAUGUGUAUAGUCCUACUGUAAGGUCGCACAGAAUGAGUAUACUUAUACUUGUACCGUCUAAUACGAGCGGGACCAUUUAUGUAAUUGACCCAUAUGGGUUAACUUUAGACACACAUUUAUCUAAUCUUUUACUGAGUUUUACAAAUACUCAUAUGGUCUGGAACAUAGACAUUAAUAAAAAACAAAUGAAGGAAAAAAAUAUGAACGGCAUCAAUGUUCUGAUAGAGACAAGAAAAAAAG
Molecule: long non-coding RNA, 816 nt
Filed under: Mytilus galloprovincialis (Mediterranean mussel)
Lineage: Eukaryota; Metazoa; Mollusca; Bivalvia; Mytilida; Mytilidae
Source: RNAcentral